Molecule: unclassified non-coding RNA, 294 nt
Filed under: Hevea brasiliensis (rubber tree)
Lineage: Eukaryota; Viridiplantae; Streptophyta; Magnoliopsida; Malpighiales; Euphorbiaceae
Source: RNAcentral
UUUUUUGGAAUUCACAUACUCUUCUUCUAACUCUCGCUAUCCCAAUUGUUGUUUGCGGAAAAUAUCAUGAAACCUGUCCUUGUGUUGAUAAAUGAGGUGCAAGUCUUUGAGUUUGUAAUUGUAUGAACACCAAAGCUAUGGCAAAUUGAAACCACUUCUUUGAACGCUAGCCACCGUUUAAUCUACAAAUAAAACGAACUUCUUGUUAAUAGUUGUCCUAUCUAGUCAUACGCAAAUGGUAUCUAGUCAUGCCCAAACAUUCCUUAAUUUGAGUAUCACAUCUCUCUAAACUUG